GAGUUGUAUGAGGCACCUAAAUGUCUCAUAGCAAACUGCUCAGUAACACAUGAUCAACCUACCCUAUGAAGGAUAAUAACCUCGGGAAACUGAGGAUAAUGAUCCAUAGCUGAUUCGGCUUGGAAAAGUGUUUCAGUGAAAUGGAUAUAGAAAAUGGUCUGUAUCCGUCAUAGGAUGGGAUUGUGGUCGAUUAGGUAGUUGGUGAGAUAAAGGCUCACCAAGCCGAUAAUCGAUAGGGGCCGUGAGAGCGGGAGCCUCGAGAUGGGUACUUAGACAGCGACCCAGGCCCUACGGGGCGCAGCAGGCGCGAAACCUCCGCAAUACACGCAAGUGUGACGGGGCUACCCAAAGUGCUCCAUAUAGGAGCUGUGGUAGGUGCGUAAUGUUCCCUACUAGAAAGGAGAGGGCAAGGCUGGUGCCAGCCGCCGCGGUAAAACCAGCUCUUCAAGUGGGGUCGGGAUAAUUAUUGGAGCUUAAACGUGUCCCGUAGCUUGUAAGCGUAAGUUCCUGGUUACAAAUUGGGCAGCUUUAACUGUCCUUAUGCUAGGAAUACUGCUUUACUAGAGGGCGGGAAGAGGUCUGAGGUACUACAGGGGUUAGGAGUGAAAAUCUAAUAAGUCCUUGUAGGACCCACCAUUGGCGAAAGGCGUCAGACUGGAACGCGCCUGGACGGUGAGGGACGAAAGCCAGGGGAGCGAACCGGAUUAGAUACCCGAGUAGUCCUGGCCGUAAACGAUGCACACNUAGAUGAUGGUGCGNGCCAUGAGCCGUAUCAGUGUCGUAGGGAAACCGUUAAGUGUGCCGCCUGGGAAGUACGGUCGCAAGGCUUAAACUUAAAGGAAUUGGCGGGGGAGCACCACAAGGGGUGAAGCCUGCGGUUCAAUUGGACUCAACGCCGGGCAACUUACCAGGGGAGACAGCAGAAUGAAGGUCAGGUUGACGACCUUACCUAACAAGCUGAGAGGAGGUGCAUGGCCGUCGCCAGUUUGUGCUGUGAGGUAUCCUGUUAAGUCAGGCAACGAACGAGACCCACGCCUUUAUUUGCCAGCAAGAAGUCACGACUUCGUUGGGAACGAUAAAGGGACUGCCGUCGAUAAGACGGAGGAGGGAGCGGGCAAAGGCAGGUCAGUAUGCCCCGAAACCCCUGGGCUACACGCGGGCUGCAAUGGUGCGAACAAUGGGCUGUGACUCCGACAGGAGAAACCAAUCCCGAAAUCGCAUCUCAGUUGGAAUUGUCAACUGUAACCCGUUGACAUGAACGUGGAAUC
This 1268-nucleotide ribosomal RNA is filed under the name uncultured crenarchaeote. RNAcentral describes it as "bacterial SSU rRNA". It matches the Rfam family "Archaeal small subunit ribosomal RNA", at positions 55 to 1289 of the family's 1478-position model. Lineage: Archaea; Thermoproteati; Thermoproteota. The record is from RNAcentral.